This 297-nucleotide ribosomal RNA is filed under the name Ancylometes bogotensis. RNAcentral describes it as "partial small subunit ribosomal RNA". Lineage: Eukaryota; Metazoa; Arthropoda; Arachnida; Araneae; Ctenidae. The record is from RNAcentral.
CUAACUUAAUUUGGCGGCAUUUUAUUUUAUUAGAGGAACUUGUCCUUUAAUCGAUAAUCCACGAUAAUUUUCACUUUUAUUAAUAACUUAUAUACCGCCGUCUUAAGAAUUAAUUUCAAUAUACUUUCUUAAUAUUUUUAAUAAGAUAGGUCAAGGUGUAAUCUAUAUAAAAGAAUUAGAUGAGUUACAUUAAAUAAAAUUUAAGGAAUAAAAACUAAAGUUUUUAAGAAAAGGGANUUAAAAGUAAUUUUUAUGAAAUAAUAAUUAAAUAUGAAUAAAAUUACAAAUGUGCACACA